UCUUCUUUAUUGCUGCUCUUCGCCCUCGCCUUGCUACUCUCUCUCUCGGUCUUGCUCGACAAUGACUGCAGGCAAAACCUUGGCGUUCUCAGUGCUCUCUAGCAAUAGGAAAUGUAUUGUUGAUACCAGAAGCAGCAUGGACAAGGGUGAUGAUUCUGGAAGCCCUGGCCAGGACGCAUCCUUUUUCACACAAACAACUGAAGAUGUUGCCAAAGCUGUUGCUACUGUAGCUCCAUCUGCAGUUAGUCGUUCACCACGACCAUCUAUAGUUUUUUCUUCCAGGGAUGAAUAUAGCGGUCAACUUCCAGAGAUGAACGUAGGGUCUUUCACCUUCACCCUAAGUGAAGAGAGGAGAUUAUAAUCCAGAAAUACUUACCCGCCAAAAACACCAUUGGGCAAGGUUUCAGUUGCAGUUCUUGGGUCAUAGGUAUGUCAAAGAACCAUCAACACUAUUUGAGAACAUGGUGGUAGUUGGAUACUGCCGAAUAAGCUCAAAGGAUUAGAGGACGUGGCUAUGAACGAUAGUGUCGGAUAAGAGUUCCAUGUACAGCUCUUUUUGGCACUCAGCUCUUCUCUGUAUGUACCGACCUUGUUCUCUUUUUCUAUCAGCAAGAUUAGUGCUGCCAUGGGAGGCUCUGUUGGAUCGAGGUACUCAUAAUUAAGGUUAUGGAAGCAAACAUGCAGUCUUUUUUUUUUUUUUAAAUGUAUAAAAAGGACU
Molecule: long non-coding RNA, 718 nt
Organism: Elaeis guineensis (African oil palm)
Lineage: Eukaryota; Viridiplantae; Streptophyta; Magnoliopsida; Arecales; Arecaceae
Source: RefSeq, a predicted model, not a curated record